UGGUGGAGUGAUUUGUCUGGUUAAUUCCGAUAACGAACGAGACUCUAGCCUGCUAAAUAGACGGGCGAUCCCUUCGUGGGUCGACCCGAUUUGCUUCUUAGAGGGACAAGUGGUGUUCCUAGCCACGCGAAAUUGAGCAAUAACA
This 145-nucleotide ribosomal RNA is filed under the name uncultured eukaryote. RNAcentral's name for it is "partial 18S ribosomal RNA". It matches the Rfam family "Eukaryotic small subunit ribosomal RNA", at positions 1299 to 1458 of the family's 1831-position model. The record is from RNAcentral.